Molecule: long non-coding RNA, 1044 nt
Organism: Oncorhynchus tshawytscha (Chinook salmon)
Lineage: Eukaryota; Metazoa; Chordata; Actinopteri; Salmoniformes; Salmonidae
Source: Ensembl
CCCAAACACUUGCGGGACCAGACGGAGACAGGGACAAAACCAGGGGUGGAGAAGGUUCACAGCCCCACCCAGGCCUUCAUCCAUCAUCUACAACAGCAAGCACUUACCCCUCCCAAUCCCUCCCCAUCACCUGAGGUCCUGGCUGGGACUGUGUCAGUGGAGGAUCACACUGUCUCCACUGUGGCCAGUGAGAUGGAGGAGGCCCCUCCACCCAUCCAGCCAGCAGUUCUAGGACAUGCAGGAGCCCAGUCUGCGAUGCCCCUCAGCCCUUGUGUGUUGGUGGCCUAUCCAGCUUCACUACACCCAGAGACAAAGGAGACUACUCUGCUAUGCCACUCUCCUACCCUGCUAUGCCACUCUCCUACCCUGCUAUGCCACUCUCCUACCCUGCUAUGCCAAUCUCCAUCUGAGCAGGGUUUAGGGACCACACCCCCGGCUGGGCAGGGCUUAUGGACCACACCCCCGAAUGGGCAGGGCUUAUGGACCACACCCCCGAAUGGGCAGGGCUUAAUGAGCACCCCCCCGAAUGGGCAGGGCUUAGUGAGAACACUCCGGAAUGGGCAGGGCUUAGUGAGCACACCCUUUACUAGGCAGGGCUUAGGGUCCACACCACAACAAGACAGUUUAUCUUCCCCACCAAGUGGGGCCACCUCCCUGGGACUGGCUGGGUCUGGAUCUGGGUCUGGAAGUGCCGUCCCUCAAACCCAGGCUGCAGUGUUCAGAAGCCCCUCCCCUCUGCCUGUCAGCACCUCCCCCCAGCUCCAGACUGCAGUGUUCAGAAGCCCCUCCCCUCUGCCUGUCAGCACCUCCCCCAGCUCCAUACUGCAGUGUUCAGAAGCCCCUCCCCUCUGCCUGUCAGCGCCUCCCCCAGCUCCAGACUGCAGUGUUCAGAAGCCCCUCCCCUCUGCCUAUCAGCGCCUCCCCCAGCUCCAGACUGCAGUGUUCAGCAAUCCCAGCCCCUCUCCUCUACCGGUCUGUGUGCCUCAGCAGCAGCCUGACCCCCUCCUAGCGCAGCCUGACCCCCUCCUAGCGCAGCCUGACCCC